UUUUUCCCUUCACUUUUGUGCAUCUCCCCCUCUCACAAAAGGUAACCCAUCGUCGAUCUCUUCCAUCUUUAUCUUCUCCGACUGUCUCGACUUCCAUCCCUUUCGUCUUCUAUCUUCCACAGUCGUCUGAAGUUCCCCGUGAAAUGGCUAGUCAUUGCUAAGACAAUUCAACAAUGGAGCCACAUGGUGAAUUUCAGUCAAUGUCCUCUACAAGUCAGGAGCACCGAGUGUGGAUACUACAUCAUGAUUAUGAGAGAAAUUGUGACUAGGGAAAGCAUUGUCAUUUCGAAUUCGAUAUGUUAUAUAUCAAAUUAUUUCUUUUGUGGGUAUAAUAAUUUUCAUGAACAUUAAUUCAUUUAUUUUGCAUGUGUACAGAUUGAUACACAAAAAUCAUACUCACAUGUCGAGUUAAGUGAUGUGCGGGUUGAGUUAGCUAAUUUUUUGGGUUCAUACAUAUGAUUGUGACUUAUUUGUGAUUCUGAAGCAUGAUUUUUUUUGUUGUGGUUGCCAUUCUAAAACUUUAUGCAUAUAGAUAAUAUAUGUGAAUAUUUUGAAUUGUUCAUAUGGAGGGAGGAGGGGUUGAUUGGUAUACUUUUGAGAUUAGAUUUAUUAUAGAUAGAUAUACUUUUUGGCUAAGUUAGUUAAUUAGAGGAUGUUGAGUUGAAUUCCUGACAAUUUGAUGGAAUUAUUUAUAUUGGUUUUGUAAAUGAUAUGCAAUAUUCAUAUAUGUAAAGUUUUGGAAAUGAUAUGGUACAAGGUUUUAUUUAAA
Cucumis melo (muskmelon) is the source of this 769-nucleotide long non-coding RNA. RefSeq lists it as uncharacterized. NCBI's taxonomy places the organism in Eukaryota, Viridiplantae, Streptophyta, Magnoliopsida, Cucurbitales, Cucurbitaceae. The record is from RefSeq and is a predicted model, not a curated record. The transcript has 2 exons.